GAUGAACGCUGGCGGCGUGCCUAAUACAUGCAAGUCGAGCGAACAGACGAGGAGCUUGCUCCUUCGACGUUAGCGGCGGACGGGUGAGUAACACGUAGGUAACCUACCUAUAAGACUGGGAUAACUUCGGGAAACCGGAGCUAAUACCGGAUAAUAUUUCGAACCGCAUGGUUCGAUAGUGAAAGAUGGCUUUGCUAUCACUUAUAGAUGGACCUGCGCCGUAUUAGCUAGUUGGUAAGGUAACGGCUUACCAAGGCAACGAUACGUAGCCGACCUGAGAGGGUGAUCGGCCACACUGGAACUGAGACACGGUCCAGACUCCUACGGGAAGCAGCAGUAGGGAAUCUUCCGCAAUGGGCGAAAGCCUGACGGAGCAACGCCGCGUGAGUGAUGAAGGUCUUCGGAUCGUAAAACUCUGUUAUUAGGGAAGAACAAACGUGUAAGUAACUGUGCACGUCUUGACGGUACCUAAUCAGAAAGCCACGGCUAACUACGUG
Molecule: ribosomal RNA, 497 nt
Filed under: uncultured bacterium
Lineage: Bacteria
Description: partial 16S ribosomal RNA
Rfam family: Bacterial small subunit ribosomal RNA
Source: RNAcentral